RNAcentral lists this small RNA (136 nucleotides) under Parvibaculum lavamentivorans DS-1. Its description in RNAcentral is "Alphaproteobacterial sRNA ar35". It matches the Rfam family "Alphaproteobacterial sRNA ar35". The record is from Rfam by way of RNAcentral. Lineage: Bacteria; Pseudomonadati; Pseudomonadota; Alphaproteobacteria; Hyphomicrobiales; Parvibaculaceae.
AUACUUGUCGCAGGCGCCCAGCGCGUUACGGCGCAGCGGGAAGCCGGACAAGUCUUCAUCUCAAGCUUUGACCACGGAUGUAAUGGCAGGGCGGUGAGAUGACUGGAAAGGCCGGGAAUACCCGGCCUUUUUUCGU